AAUAAAGUAAGCUAAAUGUGUAAGCUGUUGGGUUCAUACCCCAAAAAUGAAUAAAUAUAUAAAAAUUUCCUUUAUUA
This 77-nucleotide transfer RNA is filed under the name Sepiadarium kochi. RNAcentral's name for it is "tRNA-Met". Lineage: Eukaryota; Metazoa; Mollusca; Cephalopoda; Sepiida; Sepiadariidae. The record is from RNAcentral.